RNAcentral lists this transfer RNA (76 nucleotides) under Thermotoga sp. Its description in RNAcentral is "tRNA-Ala". It matches the Rfam family "tRNA". From Rfam's summary of the family: Transfer RNA (tRNA) molecules are approximately 80 nucleotides in length. Their secondary structure includes four short double-helical elements and three loops (D, anti-codon, and T loops). The record is from RNAcentral. RNAcentral also lists the same sequence under 14 other names. Lineage: Bacteria; Thermotogati; Thermotogota; Thermotogae; Thermotogales; Thermotogaceae.
GGGGACGUAGCUCAGCUGGGAGAGCGCCUGCUUUGCAAGCAGGAAGUCAGGGGUUCGAAUCCCCUCGUCUCCACCA